Molecule: ribosomal RNA, 247 nt
Filed under: uncultured bacterium
Lineage: Bacteria
Description: partial 16S ribosomal RNA
Rfam family: Bacterial small subunit ribosomal RNA
Source: RNAcentral
AUACGGAGGGUGCAAGCGUUAUCCGGAUUCACUGGGUUUAAAGGGUGCGUAGGCGGUUUUAUAAGUCAGUGGUGAAAUCAACGGGCUCAACCUGUUAACUGCCAUUGAUACUGUAGGACUUGAAUAAGAGAGAGGUAGGCGGAAUGUUGCACGUAGCGGUGAAAUGCUUAGAUAUGCUACGGAACACCGAUUGCGAAGGCAGCUUACUAUUUCUUAAUUGACGCUGAGGCACGAAAGCGUGGGCAGC